This is a long non-coding RNA of Quercus lobata, 940 nucleotides long. RefSeq lists it as uncharacterized. The record is from RefSeq and is a predicted model, not a curated record. The transcript has 6 exons. Lineage: Eukaryota; Viridiplantae; Streptophyta; Magnoliopsida; Fagales; Fagaceae.
GAGAAAGAGAGAUCGAGAGAAAAGAGAGACAAAGAAAUAGAGAGGCGAUGAAAUUGAGAGAGAGGCUAUGAAGACACGGAGAAAGAAACAGAAAAAGAGAGAGGCGAUCCUGGGACACGGAGAAAGAAGAGAUCGCCUCUCUGUUUCUGACAAAACGCCACUCUGUUUCUUUCACUAAGAUCGGAGUUCAUUCGCCAUUUUGAUUUUACCAGAGAAAGAAGCAGAAGAAGGAAGAUGAUAUCGACUUCAGCGUCAAGAACGAAAAAAGUCCCCUCUGCCCACAAGCAACGCCUCUGAUGGGUUCUAUUCUUUUUCUAAUUUUUUUUAGAGAUAGAGGAGGAAAAAAUAAACCUUGCAAUACAAAGAUGAGAAGGAGACAGACAGUGAGAGAACUACCACCGUUGCAGAAUACCGUUUCCUUGUGCCAGAUAAAGACAUUGGGACUUCUGCAAUAAGAGAAUUAAAAGAUUGACUAUGCUUCCAACGAUCUUGGCUUUCACUGUUUAAGGUGAGUGGAAGCAUGAAGGCAAGCAGAUGUAGAAGUUGUCCGGGAAGCCUGACGUAAGAUAAAGCUUAAGAGAUAAAGCAGCACGACAAGCAUUAGGCCAUUUUGACUGAACAAAUAUGAGGUAUAAAGAAAAGAGAUGCGAUUCUAGAACGAGAAUUCUUGAGUCAAAAGAUUGUCAUAGCAUUGAGCAACAGUGAUAGCUAUUGUGGUUGAUGUAGUCUUCUGUGUAAAUUAAAUGCCUAGAACAUAGAUAUAUAAAUGUGGCAAUAUUGUUUAUUGAAUAGUGUAUGAUCAACAAGAUACAUUAAAGGAAAAAGUGGAUUUGUGUAGUAAGGCUGAUUUACAAUUUAAUUGAAGUUGUAUGUAAAAUUGAAUUUGGAUUUUGGCUUUGAGCCAGUAAAAAUACAAAGAUUGCCAUUGUCUUUGCAAAUA